Molecule: unclassified non-coding RNA, 460 nt
Filed under: Hevea brasiliensis (rubber tree)
Lineage: Eukaryota; Viridiplantae; Streptophyta; Magnoliopsida; Malpighiales; Euphorbiaceae
Source: RNAcentral
AAAAAAAAAAAAAAGGAAUCUAGCAGAUUCCUUGACCAGACCCCAUGGAUUUUUGUAGCUAGGAAGUCGGAUAACAGUUCCGACAACAAAAAUGGGCAGAUCGACGACUAGAGUAGGGCUGGAGAGGGUCAGAUGCCACAGAAAUCUAGAAAACUUACAGGUCUAGAUUCAAGUCAAGAUCUAAUCCGAUCAUAUCUUCUUUUCCAAGAAGUUGCAAGUGAUCGGAAAAGCAUUGGAAGGGUCACCUGGAUGUCAGUAGUGGAUUGGCGGUGGCAAUGCUUGGGUUUGAAGGCCGGAUGAUGGUGUAUGGUGAGGGGUGCUGGGUUGCGUUGUUUCUCAAAGCUUUUUUUUUUUUUUUAAUCAGAAAGAACAUAAUAUUGAAUUGAAUACAUUAAUCAAAAAUCAAGUACAAAAACCGAAUAAAAAUUAACAAAAGAGUUAUUAUAUAAAAAGUUUACCU